Molecule: long non-coding RNA, 3074 nt
Organism: Nomia melanderi (Alkali bee)
Lineage: Eukaryota; Metazoa; Arthropoda; Insecta; Hymenoptera; Halictidae
Source: RefSeq, a predicted model, not a curated record
GAGGGCACUGUCCUGAGGCAAGAGGCCACAGCCAGGGCCACAGAAAUAUUUGCAUUUCCUGUUCACGAUGAAUAAUGCCGGCCAGAGGAACCACGUCGUCGAAUAGAAUCACCGAUCCACGGAAUUUUCGCCUGAUAUCGUUGCACACGUGCCUGCUGGAUAGAACUAUUAGGAAAUUCUCCUUCACAAAUUGGAAAACUAAGCUACUCUUUUGUAAACUGAUCACUGUCGUUCAAUCUGAAUUUAUUCAAAAAUUAAUUUUAUCUUGGCAAAAAUAAUUACUUGUUAACAUUGGAACUACCGAUCACUUAAACUGACUUCUACCAAUUUCUGUAUGAAAACCAUACGCGUGCGUUUAUUAAAACAAUUGAGUUGUAUUUCAGUUUUGCUGUUACUGAAUUAGUUAAUAAUUUCUCGUAGAAGUGUCCUCAGUAAUUGUGAAAGGAGAAAUCAGAAAUAAGUCAUUUUGACCCAUCUGGUAGUCCUAGUGUUAAUCUAAUAAAAUAAUAUAUAAUAUAGUAUACAAUAUAACAUAAGAUAUAAUUAUCACAUAAACAAAUGUUCCAAACGAAAGUUGUCCAAUAUUAUUAUUAUUAUUAUUAAUACCAAACAACUUUUGCUUGGAACAUUUGUCUACCUAAUAAAUAAAUGAUGGUAGAAUUGAACGAUUCACGAGUAGUGCAAUUGUUUGAAAUGAAUAUAAAAUGUGCAAUAUAUAUAAUAGAAGAGUCUAACUCAUCGGAUGUACUCGAAGGAUUAAGAAGCAGCAAAGUUGAUGUUCAUCUGUAAAUCAGGAUAUCAGGAAGUCACCGGAACUCGUCAUGGGAUCUUUCGUGUUUCCCAAGUAGCUUCUCCCUCCCGCGUUUGCGUCUCCAAGGGUGAUUUCAGUGGGGUUGGGAAAGAAAGAAGAAGUAGGAGGGAGAAGAAAUGUUUAUGGAAACAGCUGUUCUUCCUGGCCUGGGGUUGUUGACCAUGUACACCUCCCCAUUUACGUAGGAGCCUUUAUGGGGGCACUCUUGAUCCCCAGAAAUAAUUCCGUGAAGAAUAGAGAAUCGUCUGAGCUGAUCCGCCAAGAGAAUAGGCCAGCAGAGGGGCAAGAGAGUCGCAGGAGGAAAGCUGAAUGGCGUAACGGGCCGGCUACCCAGAGAAAAACGGAGCGCACACUUGUUCCCGGACAAAAAAUCACGUAGAAACAUCUGGAGGUUCGAAACGGUCCUAUGGUGACCCAUGUAAAAACUGUUUGUGUAGCGUAUACGCGUGGGAGCACGAUUUUGCGUCCAUCUACACCGUGUCCACCACGAACGCGCUGCAACUGUGCAACAAUCGGUCCAACGUGAUCUUUAACCUUGCCCUAUGACUUCUGUCUGAACCGUGAUCGAUCUAGCUACUUUGUUAUUAACAAUUUAUUGAAUAUAAGAGAGAAUUCCAGUGUUAUUCUACGUCAACGUAUGCUGUGAGGUUUAAUCAUUGAUAAGAAAGAAAUAAUAUGUGAUCUGCAUUCAUACAAAUUGAGUAAUAUGUGUGUUUAGUAAAUUCUAUUUGAAAUCUUCAUGAGUCUAACAGGAUAUUGUAGGUCAAGGGGUUAAGUAGAUACGGAGUGUAUAUAAAAAUGUCCAAUUUAUUUGUAUAAAUAGUACACAGAUUAACCACUUAAUCAGAUCUUACACAAAGCUAACAAAUUUUCGUACAGAAUAUCGAUUCGUGACGGACCUCGACAGUCUUAAGAAUUCACAGCUGAGCAAUACGUUUAAAGUUACCUUAACCCUUUGCUGUCAGACGGUACUUCAAAUUCACCGUUAUCAUUCAAAUGGUAUUGCGAGUUUCAUUUAACCCUCCGCCAGCAAUAUGUUAUACGUAGGCUUGAUUGUUUAUAGUUUUUGGAAAAUCUGGAAACAUUCUGACGUACUGAUAGUCUCUAAUUUAACACGUUGACUGCCACGAGAAUUUCUAGCGUUCCGAAUAGUAAUACUUAUUCUUUGAUAACUAAUAAUAUUGAAAAUCAAUGAUUAUUACAGUAAUCGUAUUACGUUAUGAUCUAGCUACUUAUGUUAUUAAAUAUUUUUAUUUAAAAUCAAGUGUUAUUAUAAUUGUUCUUCAACAAUUUAGAAGCUCCGGUCAUCGGUGACCGUUGCAGUCAACGCGUUAAUAUAAACGAUUUAGCCUUUUCAUGUCAUUUUGCAACAGAACAAUCCUGAUGAAGUCACAGAGCAAUUAGAUUUUCGACCUUGGUCCAUAUUGCCAGCGGAGGGUUAAUUGUAAUCUUACUUUACGUUCUAAUUAUAAAAAGUAUUUAUAGUUAACACGCAUGUUACUUGAACGGUCUUGAAAUACCUCGAGUAAAGAUGUCGCCGACAGAUAAUAAUCUCGUUGAACGCGUAAAGGGUUAAUAUUCUAUAGUAACGGUCUUAGUCUUCAAGUACUCAUUCAGAGCUUCCUGUCCCAGGUCUUUGCCGAAGCCGGACAUCUUGAAGCCGCCGAACGGCGCGGCGACGUCCGUCUUGUUAUACGUGUUGAUGAACACCGUUCCAGCUUCGAUUUUCUCAGCGAAUCGGAGAGCUCUGCUGAUGUCCUUAGUGAGGACACCGGAAGCUAGCCCGUACUCCGUGUCGUUCGCUCUCCUGAUCAUCUCGUCCAUGUUCUUCGAGCUGAAUUUUGAGAUCACCAUGACUGGUCCGAAGGAUUCUUCUUUAGCGAUGUACAUGUCGUCCUUGACGUCUGUGAAUAUAGUUGGCUCGAAGUACCAGCCUGGACGGUCCACUCUCUUGCCACCGUAAACCAAGGUAGCUCCUUCCUUGACACCACGCCGGACAAAAUCGAGGAGCUUGUUCAGAUGAGCCUUGUGAUUCUGUGGACCAUGACUCGUACUCCUGUCCAAUGGGUCGCCAACAGAAAUCUUCUUAGUCUCUGCGACUACUCUCUUCAAGAACUCGUCGUGUAUGGUCUCCUCGACGAAUAGACGACCUGUUUCACAGAAGACAUCAGUGCUUCCUUAGACUACAUUUAACACUAAAACUACCGAGCACUUCAAUCGACUUUUGAAAAUUUCGCUAUAGAAACUCCAAGAGUGCAUCUGU